GGCUCGGUGGCAGAGCGGUAUGCAGCUACACAUUGUGUGAUGGAGUCCAUGUCGUCUGUAGCAGAUGCCUGUUCGAUUCGGGCCCGAGCCA
Mycena latifolia is the source of this 91-nucleotide non-coding RNA. The record is from the annotation of a GenBank genome assembly. Lineage: Eukaryota; Fungi; Basidiomycota; Agaricomycetes; Agaricales; Mycenaceae.